RNAcentral lists this unclassified non-coding RNA (507 nucleotides) under Gibbsiella quercinecans. RNAcentral's name for it is "partial may contain 16S ribosomal RNA, 16S-23S ribosomal RNA intergenic spacer, and 23S ribosomal RNA". The stretch from base 101 to 174 matches the Rfam family "tRNA". The record is from RNAcentral. Lineage: Bacteria; Pseudomonadati; Pseudomonadota; Gammaproteobacteria; Enterobacterales; Yersiniaceae.
UGGGGGCGGACGGUGGAUACCUCCUUACCGAACGAUAUUGAAAUGUGCAGUGUCCACACAGAUUGUCUGAUGAAAAAGUAACGAGCAGAGAAACCUUUAUAGGCUUGUAGCUCAGGUGGUUAGAGCGCACCCCUGAUAAGGGUGAGGUCGGGGGGGCAAGUCCACUCCGGCCCACCAAAUUCCUCGUACGCUGCGUUGUCGCUCCAUGUCUUUGACCCCAUAAUCUUUACAAGAAUCCCCCAGCCCUUUAACCGAUGUUGCUCGGGUUCCAAUUGCCCUGUGGGGCACAAAAUUUAAAUUCAGGAAAGUUGUAUCUAUAAAUCUUCUCAAAAAUGACUAAUCGGCUUAGUUUUAGACGAAAUCUCUUUAAUUUUUUUGAGUUGCUUUUAUUCAACUCGUUAUUCUAUAUCAGAUUUUUCCUUUUUUUCACUGCUGUUAUUUUUUUUCUCUUCAACUUUUUCGGACAGGCGAUUUGAGUAAUUUUUUUUUUGUUUCGUUUUUCUUAUC